AUGCUCGCGCCGCAUCUCGCCCUUGUGCUCCCGUGCGACUGCUGCCUCCGUUGCGCCGCCCAAGUCGAGGAGCGCCGGGACCGAUUCGCGCUCCCUCCCCUCGGCCUCGGCAGUCAGCUGCCGCCUCCGGCCCCUGCCUCCGCUGCGCCGCCAAAGCCGAGGAGCGCCCACUCCGACUCCUCGCUCAGCUACUCUGCGCACCGCUGCUGCUGCUCGCCUCGCCGACUCGUAAUUUCCUGGACUGUGAGUGAGACACUAGAAAUAGAAGAUGAAGAGGAUUUUUUUUGUCGGUGCCCGCAGCGGGAGUGUCUACACUCUAUUGCUUCAACUCAGUGGAGUCAGGGAGUGUAUUUGCAAGUAUUGAUGAUAAUGAUAUUUGAUAUCGUUUUCAGUCCUAUAGGUCUCGUUGUAGUGGUGUUGGUUCUUCUUCUACAGUUGAUCAGGUCAUGGGACACACAGAUGAAGCAAACAAUUGUUUCGUCAUGGCGGCUAGCUGCUGCGCCAGCAUCUUCUUCACAAGGGCAGCCCGCACUGCUAGGUCUCAUUGCCCGCCAUAGCCACAGGAGGAGAGCACAGAGUUCUUCGAGGAGGUUAAUAUUCACUGGGAUGCUCUGA
This 615-nucleotide ribosomal RNA is filed under the name Triticum aestivum (bread wheat). RNAcentral's name for it is "partial small subunit ribosomal RNA". The record is from RNAcentral. Lineage: Eukaryota; Viridiplantae; Streptophyta; Magnoliopsida; Poales; Poaceae.